Molecule: microRNA precursor, 143 nt
Filed under: Sorex araneus (European shrew)
Lineage: Eukaryota; Metazoa; Chordata; Mammalia; Eulipotyphla; Soricidae
Description: miRNA (ENSSARG00000018121.1)
Source: RNAcentral
UAUAAUAAUAAUAAUAGCAAUUAUUAUUAUUAUAGUUAACAUUAAGCAACAUAAUUUAUUUGUAUAUUUAAAAUUACAUGUUUAUAAUAUCAUAUAUUAUAGGACAAGGAGCAAAUAAUAAUAAAAAUAAUUAUGAUAGUAAU